UACAGAGGUCUCAAGCGUUGUUCGGAUUCAUUGGGCGUAAAGGGCGCGUAGGCGGCGUGGUAAGUCGGGUGUGAAAUCUCAGAGCUCAACUCUGAAACUGCACUCGAUACUGCUCUGCUUGAGGACUGGAGAGGAGACUGGAAUUCACGGUGUAGCAGUGAAAUGCGUAGAUAUCGUGAGGAAGACCAGUGGCGAAGGCGGGUGUCUGGACAGUUCCUGACGCUGAGGAGCGAAGGCCAGGGGAGCAAACGGG
This 253-nucleotide ribosomal RNA is filed under the name uncultured bacterium. Its description in RNAcentral is "partial 16S ribosomal RNA". It matches the Rfam family "Bacterial small subunit ribosomal RNA", at positions 524 to 776 of the family's 1533-position model. The record is from RNAcentral.